Molecule: long non-coding RNA, 403 nt
Organism: Mus musculus (house mouse)
Lineage: Eukaryota; Metazoa; Chordata; Mammalia; Rodentia; Muridae
Product: RIKEN cDNA 1700027F06 gene
Exons: 2
Source: RefSeq, marked validated
CAUACCUUUCUCAUACUCCCAGCAUGUACUUCUCAGGGAUCCACUCAAAUCCCAGUCCGGGGAUCUUUUUUGUGGCCAGUGUCCUCGGUUUCAUCAUGGGACACUGUAUUUUCCUCUUUCUCAUUAUCCUGAUGAUUCAUCAGUGUAGAAAGAGGAGAGUGUUCCAAGAGGAAGAACUGAUGGAGAGACUCCUGAAUGAGGAAGAGAAGGCUGGAAGUCUGGUUUGUGAGCUCAAGACCAUAGCGUAUCACUGAAGGGACCAAUGUGGCUGUACUGAAACCAUCUGCACCAUGGUCCAGGCUAGGGCUUCAGAGGACACCGCAGUGGUCACCAGCUGUUUUGAUGCUGCACUGUGGCCUCACUUUUUAUAAACUAUCCCAAAAUAACCAUUUGUGCCCUUCUC